UUCUGAGAUGGAGGAACUCUGCGAGUAG
Molecule: non-coding RNA, 28 nt
Filed under: Bombyx mori (domestic silkworm)
Lineage: Eukaryota; Metazoa; Arthropoda; Insecta; Lepidoptera; Bombycidae
Source: RNAcentral